Molecule: ribosomal RNA, 199 nt
Filed under: uncultured bacterium
Lineage: Bacteria
Description: partial 16S ribosomal RNA
Rfam family: Bacterial small subunit ribosomal RNA
Source: RNAcentral
CAGGCUGCAACCCGCCUGCAUGAAGUUGGAAUCGCUAGUAAUCGCGGAUCAGCAUGCCGCGGUGAAUACGUUCCCGGGCCUUGUACACACCGCCCGUCACACCAUGAGAGUCGGGAACACCCGAAGUCCGUAGCCUGACCGCAAGGGGGCGCGGCCGAAGGUGGGUUCGAUAAUUGGGGUGAAGUCGUAACAAGGUACC